AGAGCGAACGCUGGCGGCAGGCUUAACACAUGCAAGUCGAACGGAUCCUUCGGGAUUAGUGGCGGACGGGUGAGUAACACGUGGGAACGUGCCUUUUGGUUCGGAACAACUCAGGGAAACUUGAGCUAAUACCGGAUGUGCCCUUCGGGGGAAAGAUUUAUCGCCAUUAGAGCGGCCCGCGUCUGAUUAGCUAGUUGGUGAGGUAAAGGCUCACCAAGGCGACGAUCAGUAGCUGGUCUGAGAGGAUGACCAGCCACAUUGGGACUGAGACACGGCCCAAACUCCUACGGGAGGCAGCAGUGGGGAAUCUUGCGCAAUGGGCGAAAGCCUGACGCAGCCAUGCCGCGUGGAUGAUGAAGGUCUUAGGAUUGUAAAAUCCUUUCAGCGGGACGAUAAUGACGGUACCCGCAGAAGAAGCCCGGCUAACUUCGUGCCAGCAGCCGC
This 444-nucleotide ribosomal RNA is filed under the name uncultured bacterium. RNAcentral describes it as "SSU rRNA". It matches the Rfam family "Bacterial small subunit ribosomal RNA", at positions 26 to 518 of the family's 1533-position model. The record is from RNAcentral.